UACGUAUGGGGCGAGCGUUGUUCGGAAUCAUUGGGCGUAAAGGGAGCGUAGGUGGGAUUUUAAGUCAGGUGUGAAAGGCCACGGCUCAACCGUGGGACUGCAUUUGAAACUGGAGUUCUAGAGUAUGGGAGAGGAAGACGGAAUUCCUGGUGUAGCGGUGAAAUGCGUAGAUAUCAGGAAGAACACCGGUGGCGAAGGCGGUCUUCUGGCCUAAUACUGACGCUGAUGCUCGAAAGCAUGGGGAGCAAACGGG
This 253-nucleotide ribosomal RNA is filed under the name uncultured bacterium. Its description in RNAcentral is "partial 16S ribosomal RNA". It matches the Rfam family "Bacterial small subunit ribosomal RNA", at positions 524 to 776 of the family's 1533-position model. The record is from RNAcentral.